RNAcentral lists this ribosomal RNA (424 nucleotides) under uncultured bacterium. Its description in RNAcentral is "bacterial SSU rRNA". It matches the Rfam family "Bacterial small subunit ribosomal RNA", at positions 355 to 772 of the family's 1533-position model. The record is from RNAcentral.
UGGGGAAUUGUUCACAAUGGGCGCAAGCCUGAUGACGCAACGCCGCGCGGAGGAUGAAGGUCUUCGGAUUGUAAACUCCUGUUGCCCGGGACGAAAAGCUCCAACCUAAUACGUUGGUGUCUGACGGUACCGGGUGAGGAAGCCCCGGCUAACUCUGUGCCAGCAGCCGCGGUAAUACAGAGGGGGCAAGCGUUGUUCGGAAUUACUGGGCGUAAAGGGCGCGUAGGCGGCCUGCUAAGUCGAACGUGAAAUCCCCGGGCUCAACCCGGGAACUGCGUCCGAUACUGGUUGGCUUGAAUUCGGGAGAGGGAUGUGGAAUUCCAGGUGUAGCGGUGAAAUGCGUAGAUAUCUGGAGGAACACCGGUGGCGAAGGCGGCAUCCUGGACCGAUAUUGACGCUGAUGCGCGAAAGCCAGGGGAGCAAA